RNAcentral lists this ribosomal RNA (550 nucleotides) under Pichia kudriavzevii. RNAcentral's name for it is "eukaryotic LSU rRNA". It matches the Rfam family "Eukaryotic large subunit ribosomal RNA", at positions 50 to 611 of the family's 3401-position model. Lineage: Eukaryota; Fungi; Ascomycota; Pichiomycetes; Pichiales; Pichiaceae. The record is from RNAcentral.
GCGGAGGAAAAGAAACCAACAGGGAUUGCCUCAGUAGCGGCGAGUGAAGCGGCAAGAGCUCAGAUUUGAAAUCGUGCUUUGCGGCACGAGUUGUAGAUUGCAGGUUGGAGUCUGUGUGGAAGGCGGUGUCCAAGUCCCUUGGAACAGGGCGCCCAGGAGGGUGAGAGCCCCGUGGGAUGCCGGCGGAAGCAGUGAGGCCCUUCUGACGAGUCGAGUUGUUUGGGAAUGCAGCUCCAAGCGGGUGGUAAAUUCCAUCUAAGGCUAAAUACUGGCGAGAGACCGAUAGCGAACAAGUACUGUGAAGGAAAGAUGAAAAGCACUUUGAAAAGAGAGUGAAACAGCACGUGAAAUUGUUGAAAGGGAAGGGUAUUGCGCCCGACAUGGGGAUUGCGCACCGCUGCCUCUCGUGGGCGGCGCUCUGGGCUUUCCCUGGGCCAGCAUCGGUUCUUGCUGCAGGAGAAGGGGUUCUGGAACGUGGCUCUUCGGAGUGUUAUAGCCAGGGCCAGAUGCUGCGUGCGGGGACCGAGGACUGCGGCCGUGUAGGUCACGG